CUCCAGCCCCACCCCGAGCUCCCCCGAGAGCGCUGUCCAAACGCUGCUGCAGCUCUGGCAGCCUUGGGGCCGGGACCAUUCCCUGGGGAGCCUGGGCAGUGCCAGCACCCUCGGGGGGAAGAACCUUUCCCUGAGCUCCGUGCCAGCCCUGACACAGCUCCAGCCCUUGCUGGGCUCCUGGCCCUGGCCCAGAGCAGAGCUCAGCCCCUGCCCCUCUGCCUCCCCUCGGCAGGAGCUGCAGCCCCCGAGGAGUCUCCCCUCAGUCUCCUCUGCUGCAGCUGAACGAGCCCAGUGCCCUCAGCUGCUCCUCAGCCCUUCCCCAGCUCCGGGUCCCUCCUUCGGACACUCUCCAACAGCUUUGGCUCCUUCUGACCUUGUGGUGCCCAAGGUGCCUCCAUAACUCCAGAUGAUUCCGUCCAACAGAUCCUGGACUCAGGCCAUGAGGAACUUCCCUGCAGGCAUCCCCACUUUCUCCGUUGUCUCAGGAGACCUAUGGGAUCUGCCUGGCCACCGCACAUUCGGAAAUCCAACAAGCUUUGGGAGAGUGGGCACCACUUUUGGGGUGCUAUCCAGGCCCUUGGCAUUACUCCCAUAUGUGUGGAAAUAUGAUACUGGAGGUUUAUGCCCCAAAAGGAGACAAAGGAGUCCUGUAACUUUAUUCAUGAACAAAGGGAGAGGCCAUGGGGCAUUUCCCAUGGUGUCUCUCAAACUGUUGAGGGACGCAGCCUCCUUUUUAUCCUAGUUUUCAUGGCCACAUCACCCUCUCCCUUUCUUCACUGGUUCAGGUACUUGGAAGGUACAAACUUCCUGAAUUGCCUACAUUAUGUCCCCCUCUAAUAUGCAUCCCCCCUUUGUUUAGCAUAUGACGCUCAUAGUUCUAUUGUCUUUGUUCUCCUCCAAGUUCAGGAACUUAGCAGGACCUUGUCUGAGCAGCAGUCCAUGUGAAUGAGCAACGCUGUCUGAAACGGAUGGUUUCUCCUGUUACUUCCUUAUCUACAAAUCCCUGUCCCUAUCUACAAGCAGAUUCACACAGUCUGUUUGUAAAGACACAUUCAUGUUAUUCCUUUCACUGGGCACCAUCAGGGCACUGUCACUGCCUGUCUGUGGUUGGGCCUUUUGUCACUCUGGUGCUAGUCCGUGCCCAAGCUGAACCCGUUUUCCUUGUUUCUGGAGUGCCAGUCCUCGCAGCAGCUGAGCCUAGUGACCCUUUUCCAGCCCAGCCUGGAGGCAGGAAGGCAGUAUGGUGGGAUGAGGAUGGUGGUGAGGAUGGGGAUGGUGGAAUGGUGUGGUUUGGUGAGAGUUGGUGAUGGUGAUGGCAGAGAUGGGGAUGGCGAUGGCAGAGCUGUGCAGAACGGUGCAGAGAGGCGGGGAUGGGGAUGGGGAUGGGGAUGGGGAUGGGGAUGGGGAUGGGGAUGGGAAUGGUGGUGCUGUGGGGAAGGGGAUGGAGGGGGGGGGGGGGGGGGGGGGGGGGGGGGGGGGGGGGGGGGGGGGGGGGGGGGGGGGGGGGGGGGGGGGGGGGGGGGGGGGGGGGGGGGGGGG
Molecule: long non-coding RNA, 1539 nt
Filed under: Ficedula albicollis (Collared flycatcher)
Lineage: Eukaryota; Metazoa; Chordata; Aves; Passeriformes; Muscicapidae
Description: lncRNA (ENSFALG00000023979.1)
Source: RNAcentral